GUGGGGAAUAUUGGACAAUGGGCGCAAGCCUGAUCCAGCCAUGCCGCGUGAGUGAUGAAGGCCUUAGGGUUGUAAAGCUCUUUCAGUGGGGACGAUAAUGACGGUACCCACAGAAGAAGCCCCGGCUAACUUCGUGCCAGCAGCCGCGGUAAUACGAAGGGGGCUAGCGUUGUUCGGAUUUACUGGGCGUAAAGCGCACGUAGGCGGAUCGUUAAGUCGGGGGUGAAAUCCUGGAGCUCAACUCCAGAACUGCCUUCGAUACUGGCGAUCUUGAUUCCGGAAGAGGUGAGCGAAACUCCUAGUGUAGAGGUGGAAUUCGUAGAUAUUAGGAAGAACACCAGUGGCGAAAGCGGCUCACUGGUCCGGUACUGACGCUGAGGUGCGAAAGCGUGGGGAGCAAACAGGAUUAGAAACCCUGGUAGUCC
RNAcentral lists this ribosomal RNA (425 nucleotides) under uncultured bacterium. RNAcentral describes it as "bacterial SSU rRNA". It matches the Rfam family "Bacterial small subunit ribosomal RNA", at positions 354 to 796 of the family's 1533-position model. The record is from RNAcentral.